Molecule: long non-coding RNA, 446 nt
Filed under: Ananas comosus (pineapple)
Lineage: Eukaryota; Viridiplantae; Streptophyta; Magnoliopsida; Poales; Bromeliaceae
Description: long non-coding RNA (ACOM_LNC020781)
Source: RNAcentral
ACAACGGCAACCACAAUAAUUUCUACAAUAACAGGAGAUACACAUGCGUACGCAUAGCGUAGGUGUGAUUUUUUUGUUGGUUUGAUCAACCCGACCAUCUUCGUGAUAGGUUUCGAACCGAUCAAAUUUAACAUCAAAUCAUCACUUCCGCCAUGCGUAUGUAUUGUUAAUCUCCAAGCCGUGCGGCCAUCUUCGUGAUAAGCUCGACAUGGUCAAAAUAAUUUGAUUGAACCAGAGGUUUUAUUACGUAAGCUGUGCGGCCAUCUUCGUGAUAGGCUCGACAUGGGUAUAAAAAAAUCGUGCGGCCAUCUUCGCGAUAGGCUCGACACGAUUAAACUCCGUAAAGCGCGAAAAAAAAAAUAAUAAUAACAUGAAGAAUGAUGAUAAAUAAUGGACGGGUUUUGAUUCGUCAUUUCGUAUAUUUGGACAAAUAAACAAAAAUAAAA